AUAAAUGCUAUGAAGAGAAGAGUAAUUGUGAAGGAAUAUACAGAGAGUUUUCGGUUGGUGGAAAGAAAAUUAUGAAAGCACAAUGAAACAAGCCUCGGAGCUGCAUACGGAUCUUAUAAAAAUUAUUUAUAAGUGAUGCUAUGACGUAUGUUCACGUUACAGAACUAGAGUAUGAUUUGACCUAAAAUUUUAGGGAAAUGGUGUACUUGAAGAGCUUAAAAUGGUGACAUUUUAGGGAAAAAGGGUGGCACACGCGGAAUUAGAAUUUUCGCCCCUGUA
Molecule: non-coding RNA, 279 nt
Filed under: Clostridium celatum
Lineage: Bacteria; Bacillati; Bacillota; Clostridia; Eubacteriales; Clostridiaceae
Description: T-box sequence
Rfam family: T-box leader
About the family: Uncharged tRNA acts as the effector for transcription antitermination of genes in the T-box leader family.
Source: RNAcentral